Molecule: small RNA, 30 nt
Filed under: Bombyx mori (domestic silkworm)
Lineage: Eukaryota; Metazoa; Arthropoda; Insecta; Lepidoptera; Bombycidae
Description: ovarian small RNA-4858
Source: RNAcentral
CGACCGACCUGUCCUCGAGGUAGGACCCGA